GACGAACGCUGGCGGCGCGCCUAACACAUGCGAGUCGAACGAGCGAGAGAGAGCUUGCUUUCUCGAGCGAGUGGCGAACGGGUGAGUAACGCGUGAGGAACCUGCCUCAAAGAGGGGGACAACAGUUGGAAACGACUGCUAAUACCGCAUAAGCCCACGGCUCGGCAUCGAGCAGGGGGAAAAGGAGCAAUCCGCUUUGAGAUGGCCUCGCGUCCGAUUAGCUAGUUGGUGGGGUAACGGCCCACCAAGGCGACGAUCGGUAGCCGGACUGAGAGGUUGAACGGCCACAUUGGGACUGAGACACGGCCCAGACUCCUACGGGAGGCAGCAGUGGGGAAUAUUGCACAAUGGGGGAAACCCUGAUGCAGCGACGCCGCGUGGAGGAAGAAGGUCUUCGGAUUGUAAACUCCUGUUGUUGGGGAAGAUAAUGACGGUACCCAACAAGGAAGUGACGGCUAACUACGUG
This 466-nucleotide ribosomal RNA is filed under the name uncultured bacterium. Its description in RNAcentral is "partial 16S ribosomal RNA". It matches the Rfam family "Bacterial small subunit ribosomal RNA", at positions 28 to 507 of the family's 1533-position model. The record is from RNAcentral.